Long non-coding RNA from Telopea speciosissima, 97 nucleotides. RefSeq lists it as uncharacterized. The record is from RefSeq and is a predicted model, not a curated record. The transcript has 3 exons. Lineage: Eukaryota; Viridiplantae; Streptophyta; Magnoliopsida; Proteales; Proteaceae.
AGUUCUCUCAAUGGUAUCUUUGGCUCAUUAAUUUGUUCAGUUCCAGCAGUUAGGCAAGCUCUGCUUCUGAUAGUCGGCUAAAAUAAUUUGAUAUUUU